This 469-nucleotide ribosomal RNA is filed under the name uncultured bacterium. RNAcentral describes it as "bacterial SSU rRNA". It matches the Rfam family "Bacterial small subunit ribosomal RNA", at positions 28 to 507 of the family's 1533-position model. The record is from RNAcentral.
GAUGAACGCUGGCGGCGUGCCUAACACAUGCAAGUCGAACGGAGCUGUCGGAGCUUGCUUUGACAGCUUAGUGGCGAACGGGUGAGUAACGCGUGAGCAACCUGCCCUUGAGAGGGGGAUAACAUCGGGAAACCGAUGCUAAUACCGCAUAAAAUAUGCAGAUGGCAUCAUUGGCAUAUCAAAGGAGAAAUCCGCUCAAGGAUGGGCUCGCGUCUGAUUAGAUAGUUGGUGAGGUAACGGCCCACUAAGUCGACGAUCAGUAGCCGGACUGAGAGGUUGACCGGCCACAUUGGGACUGAGACACGGCCCAGACUCCUACGGGAGGCAGCAGUGGGGAAUAUUGGGCAAUGGGGGGAACCCUGACCCAGCAACGCCGCGUGAAGGAAGAAGGCCUUCGGGUUGUAAACUUCUUUGACAGGGGAAGAAGGAAGUGACGGUACCCUGAGAACAAGCUCCGGCUAACUACGUG